This is a non-coding RNA of Triticum urartu, 124 nucleotides long. The record is from Rfam. NCBI's taxonomy places the organism in Eukaryota, Viridiplantae, Streptophyta, Magnoliopsida, Poales, Poaceae.
UUUAUACUUCCUCCGUCCGGAAAUACUUAUCCUACAAAUGGUUGUAUCUAAACUUAUUUUAGUUAUAGAUACAUUCAUUUUAUUCAUUUGUAGGACAAGUAUUUCCGGACGGAAGGAGUAUAUG